RNAcentral lists this ribosomal RNA (440 nucleotides) under uncultured bacterium. RNAcentral's name for it is "partial 16S ribosomal RNA". It matches the Rfam family "Bacterial small subunit ribosomal RNA", at positions 338 to 795 of the family's 1533-position model. The record is from RNAcentral.
CCUACGGGAGGCAGCAGUGGGGAAUAUUGCACAAUGGGGGAAACCCUGAUGCAGCGACGCCGCGUGAGUGAAGAAGUAAUUCGGUAUGUAAAGCUCUAUCAGCAGGGAAGAAAAUGACGGUACCUGAGUAAGAAGCCCCGGCUAACUACGUGCCAGCAGCCGCGGUAAUACGUAGGGGGCAAGCGUUAUCCGGAUUUACUGGGUGUAAAGGGAGCGUAGACGGGAGUGCAAGUCUGGAGUGAAAGGCGGGGGCUCAACCCCCGGACUGCUCUGGAAACUGGACGGCUGGAGUGCAGGAGAGGUAAGUGGAAUUCCUAGUGUAGCGGUGAAAUGCGUAGAUAUUAGGAGGAACACCAGUGGCGAAGGCGGCUUACUGGACUGUAACUGACGUUGAGGCUCGAAAGCGUGGGGAGCAAACAGGAUUAGAUACCCCAGUAGUC